RNAcentral lists this ribosomal RNA (119 nucleotides) under Pteropus alecto (black flying fox). The record is from RNAcentral. Lineage: Eukaryota; Metazoa; Chordata; Mammalia; Chiroptera; Pteropodidae.
GUCUACCGCCAUACCACCCUGAACAAGCCCGAUCCCGUCUGAUCUCGGAAGCUAAGCAGGAUUGGGCCUGGUUAGUACUUGGAUAGGAGACCACAUAGGAAGACCAGGUGCUGUAGGCG